RNAcentral lists this ribosomal RNA (237 nucleotides) under uncultured bacterium. RNAcentral's name for it is "partial 16S ribosomal RNA". It matches the Rfam family "Bacterial small subunit ribosomal RNA", at positions 96 to 334 of the family's 1533-position model. The record is from RNAcentral.
CGGCGGACGGGUGAGUAACGCGUGGGUAACCUGCUCAUACAGGGGGAUAACAGUUAGAAAUGACUGCUAAUACCGCAUAAGACCACGGUACCGCAUGGUACAGUGGUAAAAACUCCGGUGGUAUGAGAUGGACCCGCGUCUGAUUAGGUAGUUGGUGGGGUAACGGCCUACCAAGCCGACGAUCAGUAGCCGACCUGAGAGGGUGACCGGCCACAUUGGGACUGAGACACGGCCCAG